Molecule: ribosomal RNA, 490 nt
Filed under: uncultured bacterium
Lineage: Bacteria
Description: partial 16S ribosomal RNA
Rfam family: Bacterial small subunit ribosomal RNA
Source: RNAcentral
AUUGAACGCUGGCGGCAGGCCUAACACAUGCAAGUCGAAUGGUAACAGCAAACAGCUUGCUGUUUCGCUGACGAGUGGCGGACGGGUGAGUAAUGUCUGGGAAACUGCCCGAUGGAGGGGGAUAACUACUGGAAACGGGAGCUAAUACCGCAUAACUUCGGAAGACCAAAGAGGGGGACCUUCGUUCCUCUUGCCGUCAGAUGUGCCCAGAUGGAAUUAGCUAGUAGGUGGGGUAACGGCUCACCUAGGCGACGAUCCCUAGCUGGUCUGAGAGGAUGACUCGCCACCCUGGAAGUGAGACACGGUAGAGACUCCUACGGGAGGAAGCAGUGGGGAAUAUUGCACAAUGGGGGAGAGCGUGAUGCAGGCAUGCGGCGUGUAUGAAGAAGGACUUCGGGUUGUAAAGUACUUUAAGCGGGGAGGUAGGGAGUAAAGUUAAUACCUUUGGUGAUUGACGUUACCCGCAGAAGAAGCACCGGCUAACUCCGUG